GACGAACGCUGGCGGCGUGCUUAACACAUGCAAGUCGAACGGAAAGGCCCUGCUUUUGUGGGGUGCUCGAGUGGCGAACGGGUGAGUAACACGUGAGUAACCUGCCCUUGACUUUGGGAUAACUUCAGGAAACUGGGGCUAAUACCGGAUAGGAGCUCCUGCUGCAUGGGGGGGGUUGGAAAGUUUCGGCGGUUGGGGAUGGACGCGCGGCUUAUCAGCUUGUUGGUGGGGUAGUGGCUUACCAAGGCUUUGACGGGUAGCCGGCCUGAGAGGGUGACCGGCCACAUUGGGACUGAGAUACGGCCCAGACUCCUACGGGAGGCAGCAGUGGGGAAUAUUGCACAAUGGACGGAAGCCUGAUGCAGCAACGCCGCGUGCGGGAUGACGGCCUUCGGGUUGUAAACCGCUUUCGCCUGUGACGAAGCGUGGGUGACGGUAAUGGGUAAAGAAGCACCGGCUAACUACGUG
Molecule: ribosomal RNA, 468 nt
Filed under: uncultured bacterium
Lineage: Bacteria
Description: partial 16S ribosomal RNA
Rfam family: Bacterial small subunit ribosomal RNA
Source: RNAcentral